UACGUAGGGGGCAAGCGUUAUCCGGACUUACUGGGUGUAAAGGGAGCGUAGACGGCUAUGCAAGUCAGAAGUGAAAGCCCAAAGCUCAACUUCGGGACUGCUUUCGGAACUGUGUAACUAGAGUGCAGGAGGGGUAAGCGGAAUUCCUAGUGUAGCGGUGAAAUGCGUAGAUAUUAGGAGGAACACCGGCGGCGAAGGCGGCUUACUGGACUGUAACUGACGUUGAGGCUCGAAAGCGUGGGGAGCAAACAGG
This 253-nucleotide ribosomal RNA is filed under the name uncultured bacterium. RNAcentral's name for it is "partial 16S ribosomal RNA". It matches the Rfam family "Bacterial small subunit ribosomal RNA", at positions 524 to 776 of the family's 1533-position model. The record is from RNAcentral.